RNAcentral lists this ribosomal RNA (400 nucleotides) under uncultured bacterium. RNAcentral's name for it is "bacterial SSU rRNA". It matches the Rfam family "Bacterial small subunit ribosomal RNA", at positions 370 to 772 of the family's 1533-position model. The record is from RNAcentral.
AAUGGGCGAAAGCCUGACGCAGCGACGCCGCGUGGGGGAUGAAGGUCUUCGGAUUGUAAACCCCUUUCGGGAGGGAAGAUGGAGCGAGCAAUCGUUCGGACGGUACCUCCAGAAGCAGCCACGGCCAACUUCGUGCCAGCAGCCGCGGUAAUACGAAGGAGGCAAGCGUUGUUCGGAUUCACUGGGCGUACAGGGUGUGUAGGCGGUUUGGUAAGCCUUCUGUUAAAGCUUCGGGCCCAACCCGGAAAGCGCAGAGGGUACUGCCAGGCUAGAGGGUGGGAGAGGAGCGCGGAAUUCCCGGUGUAGCGGUGAAAUGCGUAGAGAUCGGGAGGAAGGCCGCUGGCGAAGGCGGCGCUCUGGACAGGCACUGACACUCAAGUACGAAAGCGUGGGGAGCAAA